GACGAAGGUGGCGAGCGUUGCUCGGAAUUACUAGGCGUAAAGCGUGAGCAGGCGGUUCGGUAAGUCCGUUGUGAAAGCCCCGGGCUCAACCCGGGGAGGCCAAGGGGUACUGCCGGACUUGAAUACGGGAGAGGUUACUGGAAUUCCUGGUGUAGCGGUGAAAUGCGUAGAUAUCAGGAGGAACACCGAAGGCGAAAGCAGGUAACUGGACCGUUAUUGACGCUGAGUCACGAAAGCCGGGGGAGCAAACAGG
RNAcentral lists this ribosomal RNA (253 nucleotides) under uncultured bacterium. RNAcentral's name for it is "partial 16S ribosomal RNA". It matches the Rfam family "Bacterial small subunit ribosomal RNA", at positions 524 to 776 of the family's 1533-position model. The record is from RNAcentral.